UUCCGAGAGCACGGGAAGACGAGAUGGCGGUGUUGCAUGCUCUGUUGCCACGUAAACUCAAAUAAUAGUUCCAGAGCGUGUCUUUCUCCCACUCAGCCUUCCGCCUCUUGUGAUCCUUGGUGAGGUUAACUUAUCGACAUGUAAAAGCUCUAAAAUGUCUGCUAUUUGGUGUGGUAGCCAGCUUGUUCUUCUUCAUCUUCCUUUUGUUCCAUAAACACUUCGACUCGUUCCGUCUUCUCUUUUUUUUUCUUUUUUAAUUUUCUUCCUCCAUAUACGGUCUUGCUAACAUAUAUAUACAUAGAAAACAAAGGAAGAACAAUAGUAAGGAAACUAGAGUGUAAAAAGAAUGUCUGGUUCAUGAAAUGCUUUAUGAUGUGUUUCGAAGCUUUAUUCUGCACGAGACUGUCAUCUAAAGUCUUCAACGUAAACUAAAUUAUUUGAUAUUUUGAUCCAGAAGCUAUUUCUAUAGUGAUUUUUUUUUUUUUUCAGUUUAAGGUAUUUUUAGCUGUUCUAAUAUAGUGUUUACCGAUUGAUGGCUUCUUAAUAAUGAUACGUACAUUUUGAAGAGUUUAAGUAUGAAUUCAUAUAUUUUUACUCAUCCUGUUUAUUUUUCCAUUUAUUUCGUAUUUUGAGGCUCAUUUUUUUACUACUCUAUUACUUUUCACGUAUUAGCAUUCAUUUAGUAUCAUGAUGGAUUUACUUAGGAAGUUUAUCAGCGUAUUGAAUGAGAACGAGAAACAUUGGAAUCUGUGGAAAGGGAGAGAGAGAGAAGCGGUGCAAUGUUUCGUCCUUUCUCUGCCGACCCGAGAUGAGGGAAGAUGUGUUCGUAGCAUGGGUUCUUCCUUCAAGGUCACUGCAGGAGAUGGGUGAAGGAGGAGGAGUUGACAGCAGACAGGAGAGAGGGUGCAGGUGAAUGGUAGACAGAAUGGAAGCCACAGGUGAAAGAAGACAGCAGAUCCGGCCAUGGCAGCAGACAGACAGACAGGCAGGCAGGCAGGCAGAGAGACUGGAUCAGAGAGUAUUCAGUCAGGUAAGGAACACUACACCCCUUCACAAUGUUGACUACUUGAUAGCACAGAUGGGUUUAGGUUUUCAAUAUUUCAAGGCUUGGUAUUUGAACUAUUGCAUGAAAGGAAUAGUCUGAGAAAUGAGAGCUUGUGUUCUUGUCACUUGUAAACAAACUGCUAGAAUAAUUUUGAUUGAUUUUUUUUUUAUUUCAUUUUAUUUAUUUAUUUUUUUUUAUUUAUUGAUUUUUUUUUUUUUUUUUUUUUUUUUCAAGUUCUGGGUAAUAUUUUGGGUCAUUUUGAGUAAUUUCUGUAUCUGCUGGGUCACUUUGUCAUGUCUAAUGUGUCCAGAGUAUUAAUGGUCUGUAAUUGUCAUUUUGAAGGUUAAUAUGAAAGUCAGAGUCUUAUUUCCCAAGCAGAGACAAUGUUCUGGCUCAUUAUUACUCAAAUUUGAGGAAAAAAGUCACUAGUUUCCAUGAAGACAAUGACUUUUUCCUGUUUCCCCAUGAAGUAGCAAAAAUGUCAGGCAGUAAACUUUUAUCUGAGGUUUUACAGCAGUGUGUUUAUGAGUGACAUUAUUAUCAGCUAAGUUUUCGUCAACAAAAAUAAGUAAUCUGUUUUCCGACUGUCUCUGAAUAUCAGUGUAUCUCCGUGACUAACAUUUGGUAUGAGCUAAAAUAUUUGGUUUCCACGGUAAUAUUAACACUUAGGACAAACUAAAAUAUUUGGUUUCCACAGAUAAGUACACAGGAGUAACAAUAUCCACCUCAAGCAACAAAAAUACUCUUCCUCGCAUGGACCGCUUGACUGCCGGGACUUGAAGGCUGAUGUAGUGCAGCCAAGGUCACGCCCCUCAAAGUGUUUAGAGUUACUGUGAAAAAUAUCAUAACUAAGAAUUGCUUUUUAGUGCGUGUAGUUAAAUUUGAAGUCAUUGUUAUGGAUUCCUAAAUUCCUAAACAGCAUAAUGAAUUCAAACUUUUCAGUGUCUGCAGUUAAAAUUAAAUCACUGUUCAAGAUUCCUCAAUUCCUAAACAGCAUAAUGAAUUACAACUUUUUUGGUGUGUAGUUAAAAUUAAAUCAUUGUUAAAGAUUCCUAAAUUCACAAAGAGCAUAACAAAUUACAACUUUUUAGUGUCUAGUUAAAAUUGAAUCAUUGUUAAAGAUUUCAAAAUUCACAAAGACCAUAACGACUUAAAACUUUUUAGUGCACAGCAAAAUCAUCGUUCCAGGUUCCUAAGUGAUGUGUGGCAUUAUCCUGGACAACCCUCAACAGCCCCACUGGAGAUUGUCAGUCUGCAGUGGCACGUGGCAACACACAAGCACUGCCACGUGUUGAGGAGUACACACUGUCCCAUUUGCAGUCAAAAGGUUACAAAAAUAAAGCAGCAUUUUGUCGAGUAAUAAAAGUAAUCAAAA
Scylla paramamosain (green mud crab) is the source of this 2420-nucleotide long non-coding RNA. RefSeq lists it as uncharacterized. The transcript has 2 exons. Lineage: Eukaryota; Metazoa; Arthropoda; Malacostraca; Decapoda; Portunidae. The record is from RefSeq and is a predicted model, not a curated record.